RNAcentral lists this non-coding RNA (45 nucleotides) under Xyrichtys novacula (pearly razorfish). It matches the Rfam family "Histone 3' UTR stem-loop". Rfam says of the family: The mRNAs of metazoan histone genes lack a poly-A tail. 3' end processing occurs at a site between a highly conserved stem-loop (modelled by this family) and a purine rich region around 20 nts downstream (the histone downstream element, or HDE). The stem-loop is bound by a 31 kDa stem-loop binding protein (SLBP - also termed the histone hairpin binding protein, or HBP). Lineage: Eukaryota; Metazoa; Chordata; Actinopteri; Labriformes; Labridae. The record is from RNAcentral.
CCAACGGCUCUUUUAAGAGCCACCCACUCAAAUUGACGAGCAUGU